RNAcentral lists this long non-coding RNA (3987 nucleotides) under Equus caballus (horse). The record is from RNAcentral. Lineage: Eukaryota; Metazoa; Chordata; Mammalia; Perissodactyla; Equidae.
AAGUAAAACAGAGUGUGCGCUUCUCCCCUUUCCCGGUCCCAAGCAACUGCUGUCCGGAAGUUCCUCCUAUAGACAAAUUCUAGCGCUAGAAGGAGAAAUCCCCUAUAUUCGUAGCGUGGGUGAAAGGAAUGAGUGUCGAAUGUAAAGAACAUGGGCAAAAUAUCUGCACAAGUGGAAAGAAAAAUAGUCAGUUUUGGCAAAGAAAUAAAACCAGCCAUUGGUGAGUUUUGAAUGAUCGGGACUGAUAAAAAGAUCUCUCUCCCUGGCUCUUUGUGGCUGUGCAGGUAGAGCCACGGAACGCCUGCCAGGGCAGGACUGCAGGCAGAAGCCAGAACGGACUAAUUACUCUCUUUAGUGCCAAAUAGCAUUUGAGAAGCUUGCAAAGCACUAUCGCUAAACCUCCAUCUAGAUUCUCCUCCCUUAAUUCAAUGCCACUUAGCAUUAUUCUAAUUGGCAAUGUGAGGGUGUGUUUUUUUUUUAAGAUUGGCGUCUAAGCUAACAACUGUUGCCAAUCUUUUUUUUUUUUUUGCUUUUUCUCCCCAAAUCCCCCCAGUACAUAGUUGUAUAUUUUAGUUGUGGGUCCUUCUAGUUGUGCUAUGUGGGACGCCGCCUGCCUCAGCAUGGCUUGAUGAGUGGUGCUAUGUCCGUGCCCAGGAUGCGAACCAGUGAAACCCUGGACUGCUGAAGCAGAGCGUGGGAAUUUAACCACUAGGCCACAGGCCAGCCCCUGGUUUUUUUUUUUUUUUUAUAGGAAUAAAAUAAAGACAAAAGGCAAUCAUGUUGUUAGCAUAAUGCAUUCAAUACAACGUGCUUUGACUUGUUUUAACAUUACAACUUAACUAAAUUUACCUUGGUUAUUAGAAGAGUUGAAUAGAGACUUACUACUCUGAUUUAAGAAAGGGAUGAAAGAAUAAUGAAAACAUAAAAUGUAUGCAGUCACCAUCUAACUUCCUCCCUAUAGUUAAAUGUAAUUACAGUUUUCCAGCAAAGAAUUUGUGGAGAAUUAAAAUGAAAAGAAAGUCUUGGGAAAGUAGCCCCAACUGGUUGGAAAAUAUGAAAUUAAUUAUCUCAGCGUCCAAAAAGAAUGUGUUUCUUAUAAAGAAUCGGAGAUCUGUUGAACUUCAGAAUUAUUUACAUUUCUUCAGCAAUGUUCUCACUGUCAGUGGAACAGCAACAUGUGAAGAAGUAAUUUUGUCACAUGAUCCGUGUAAUCCAGAGCCGGGACAGCGUCCACGGAGCUCGUCCGGGCCAGCCCUCCGUUUCGUCGGAGGACGCCCCAACUGCUUGAAGUAAUUGGUUCCUGUCUGCUUUUGCUAGCUCGUCCUUUUAUGUAAAAACAAGCAAACGACUGAACGGAAAGUGAAGACCUGUUUUUCUCCUUGUCUUAAAAUUUCUUUAAAGAACAAUUUACCCCAAACAUUACAAAUUUCAGACACAGUUUUAGGUCUGUUUUGUUCUGUUUCACGUAAUAUCAAUACUAAGAAAAAGAUUAUCAACAAUUUACUAAAAUUUUCCCAAGAGAUGUUAAAAUUUAGUUUUACAUACAUAGAAAAAGAGUGGACCGCUUUGAAGGGGGAUUAGUUAGAAUUAAAGGCAUUGAAAAAGGAAAAUUGUAGAAGAAAAUCUUAGUGGUGCUCAUUCAGCUGCCAUCCAGAGGAAGCGGGGUGUUAGUCAUCAGACCUGAAGUAUUCAGAUCACAUUGGGCGUCUCAUGUCAACUUUGAGGUCAGUCUAUCAGGACAGCUUAGCUUGCAGACAUCAAACUGGAAAUUCAAUUGGCCCCUUGAUUUAAUACUUACUAAGAAAAGUUCUAUUUGGAUUUCCAUGAAGCUUUGCCGACAAAAGGAAAAUAAACUCUACCCUGGACAGACCAUAAGGUGCUUAGCUGGAGCCAUAUCUAGAGACUCAUUCUGGGAGAGAGCAGCCUCUAGAAAUUCUUUUGGUUUGAGGUUGCCGCGGCUUAUGCACAUGAAACAGGUGAAAUCAAUUCUGCUCCCUAACUGCAGCUGGUGGUCCUAGGCACCCACACCUGGGCUGAGGCAUGUGCAAACAGAUCAGGGAGCCAAAUGCUAAACCACCCCAGCCAUUCAGUCUUUUCCAGAGAGUACAUCUCUGAGAUGCCCCCAGAGUGGGUGGACUCCCGAGGCAUUGGUGAAUCCUAUAGAUGAAGAGCCAUGGUUCCAGCAAUCUUUGAGGCCAGAUGUGCUUUUCAGUCUUAGAAGCGCUGAGUUCUCCCGGUGAUUGGAAUUCUCCAUCUAUAAACCACCAGGUGGAAUCUGCAAAGUUAAGGAUCCAGCCCCCCGGUACACAGUUGCGUACUCUUCGCUGUGGGUUCCUCUAGUUGUGGCAUGUGGGACGCCGCCUCAGCGUGGUCUGACGAGCAGUGCCAUGUCCGCGCCCAGGAUUCGAACCGACGAAACACUGGGCCGCCUGCAGCGGAGCACGCGAACUUAACCACUCGGCCAUGGGGCCAGCCCGGCAAAAUUCAAUUUUUGAUAGUCAUUGUUGAGAUGCGUGGACGUUAGUUGUCUUUAGGGUAUAAGAAACAUAAAAUACGUCUACGGCCAUACCACCCUGAAUGCGCCCGAUCUCGUCUGAUCUUGGAAUCUAAGCAGGGUCAGGCCUGGUUAGUACUUGGACGGAAGAAACAUAAAAUAUGGUAUUAUAGAAAGCACACACAAAACUCUAACUACAGUAAUAACUAAUACUAAAUAAAACACAAAGACCGUGAAAACCUCAUACGAAAUUCCAGAAGAGUCCUUGGGAUGUGGAUAAACUGCGUUAUCUCCUUCAUCAUCUUUUCUCUAUUCUGGAAUGCACCCUGGUGCUUUCUGCUUCCAGAAAGUUCAUUGAAUGAGCUCCUGAAAAUGGCAUUAAAUAAGAGCUUAUAGGAAAGACUUGAUCAUAAGUACAGGGCACAGUAAAGAGGGAGCAGGGGAUCCCGCAAGAAAACCUCCAGUUUGGUGAUUGGUUAGAAAAACUCAAGGGACUCAGCACGGACUUGUCUCCUGGCUGUAAUUUAUUACAGCAGAAGGAUACAAAGCAAAAUCAGCAAAGGGAGAAAGGCACAUGGGGCGAAGUGUGGAGGAACCAGGCACCAGCUUCCAAGAGUCUUCUCCCAGUGGAGACACACAGGACGUGCUGAAUUACUCCAGCAAAAAGAUACAAACCAUGCAUGAAAUGUCUAGUAGGGAAGCUCGUCAGAGACGCAGUGCCCGAUGCUUUCAGUGGACAGGGUCGUGGAGGCACCCUCUGCCUAGCACAUACCAGAACUCCAGACUCCCAGAAAGAAAGCAGGUGUUCAGUGUAAACGACAUUGUUUGUGCAAACAAUUUAGCCACAUUAAACCACACUUAUCAGGGAAUGAUGGAAACACUUCCAAAACCCAAAUUCCCAGACACAAGCCCAGGGCCAAACUUGCAAGCAUGCCUUUCCAGGGAGGGCCUUCUCAGGCCGGCUCUAUUAACUGUUUCCUACACAGACGCAAAAGCAGAUGCCUGCUCCGUGGAGGGACCCAUGCUGGGUCCUUUCAAACAUGUCAUUUUGCUUGCCAUUUUUGUCUCAAACUUUGCACUUUAUCUAGCACCUAUUUUGUUGAAUAAAUGAGUGAGCGUUGCUUCCUUUCCCUCCCCUGCCCUUUUUGCCCUACAGAAACAGGAGCAGUGCUUUAUCCAGAAAACCAUAUUGAAACUCACAGAGAGUUAGUGUAGUAACAGCCAUCACACAGCAGGGGCACCGUAGAGCUCCAGGGCUGCUGGAGGGAAAUGCCGCCCUGGUCUGGGCGAGGCCUCAGCCUGGAGCUGUGGUGGAGAGCUAGCCUGUGUCUCCCAAGGAGUGGCGCUCGGCGGCUGCUCAGCGCAAUUCCAGCUGCUUAGAUUCUAAUGUUUGCUGCAAAAGUCUAAUCUCGCUAUGUUAUAGUUAUAAUUAUCCAGUUUUCAACUUUGAGCUAAACAGAACAUAAGCAAUGUGUCUUUUCAGGUGAUAAAAG